CUCAGGACUUGCCUUUCCCAACUAGUACUUGUACUUUGAGGAAGAAAGUAGGAAAUAAUCUCUCAGAAGCCUAUUACCACUUCUACAUUAAUGGGCAUAUGAAGCGGCAAGAAUUAUAUUUCCUAAAAUUGGGAUUGUUAUGAAAAUUAUGCAGAAGAGGAAAAAGCUGAAUUUUCCGAUAUAUUAAUUUCCAAAGUGCUUAUUUCUGACAUCAUCUUUGGAUUUUUAUGUCUCCGCAACUUCAUAAUUAAAAAAUUAAAGCCUGAAUGAACUCAAAAGGCCUUUGGCCUUAGUAGACUUAUUAAAUCUGCUUUAUUGAGAAGACUUGACCCCUUGGCUGCAUUAUCUUGGGAUUGUACUGUAUUUCACUUUAUUUUCUUUGAUAUGUGUACAGUAAAAUACCAGACCUUAAAAUAAAAGUCCCUUGCUGAGCCUCUUCUCCCUGGGAAAGAAUACACUUUAUGGCCAGAUGGAAUGGCAUCAUGUCUCACUGUUGGGGUAGCACAGAAAAGACAACAUCGCUGAACGCUUUCCAUUCUCAUACCGGGGAGGCUCCUUAGUUUAGUCAGGUGCUGUAACUUGGACCCAACGCUGAGCUGCAGCUCAGGAGACAAAACAGUUGGAAAACUUGGAGAAAGGCUCUAAGGGUCAGUGAAAUUUACUGUGGGCAGCUGCUGCUUCAAAGCCACUCUCUGUGCAGAAGCCUAUUAAGAAGUAGUAGGUUACGUUCCUGCCGUUUCCCCAGCAUGAUGGAUGAUGCUCUGAAAAGAGAAAAGACUUCCUGUUCCAUGGAGGUGGCUUUCCUCUAGGCUGCCUCACUGCCUUUCUCAGGCUCUCUCCAUUCCAUUUCUAACCAUUGAAUUCACUGCUCCACUACAUUUAAUAAUAAGCCGGGCUUGUCAGGAAUGACUGACUGUGACUCACCAGUGACUUCUUGUCAAUCAGCAGGACCUCCCACUCUCAGUAGAGGGGCUUAGCUGUGCUGUCGUUCCAGGGGAAGAGGCUAUGAGGGAAAAGAAUCAGGUUGCAUGUGGACCAAUAACAGGAGUGACUUUAGAGUUUGCUUGAUCUUUUUCGCUUUCAGAAACAUUUUCACUUUACCUCACGUUAAGAAACUAUUCCUCACUGGCCCUCUCUUAGCUUCUGGUAUUUGCCAAGCUCUCUUCUACUAGCACUUUUGUACAUGCUGUUACCUCCACUACGUGUGCUCUUCCCUGUUUGCUUUGCUUUCUUAACUGCUGCUCUCUUUCUAGUCUCAGCCUGUAACCCAACCUUCUUGCUUAGGUUAGAGCUCUUAAGUUGAGGUGCUUAUAGGACGGUGUCCUUCCUUUGUGGCACUCGUUUGGGUGACCAUUUGAUGGAUGUCUUUUUCACAUUCUGCAUUAUUGAGGAUUGUAUUACACCCACACGCACACACACAGACACACACACACACACAAGUGCAUGUGGCACCAUGUGCAAUGUCCAUCUUCCCUGCCUCAGCUGCAGUCUCCACACAGGCAGGGAGUGUGCUGUCAAUCUUCAUCAUUGUACCUCCAGUACCCACUACCCAAUGCACAUUUGUUACUGCUGGAUUCGGUUGACAUUUGAUUUGUAUAUCCUUAGGAAAGUAGAAGCUUGUUACUGUAUGCUUUUCACAGGCAUAAAGAUACAAGGCUAAUAGUGUGAGGUGCUUUUAGGAGCAAGGCUGAGUUGCUUGCUUAGUAACAAGCAUCAUCUGCUUAGCAAGCCCGCGUUUUGGGUGUGGGGAAAAGUUUUUCAUAAUUAACAGGUGCACAAAAACUCAGCAUUUUCAGGUCAAAUGACUAUACAUACUUCUAAUAAAGUUCUUCUCUAUUGACUCCAUCAAGCACUGGUUACUAAGUGCUCAUGUAUGGUUAGUAGAGUCUUUUGGUGUUUGGUAGAGAUGACUAACAUAGGCAAGAUCCCUGGCCUCCUGAGGCUUAUCAUAUAAAUAGGGGACAUCAGGUAAAGACCAGAGAAGAAAGUACUCACUUGUGGGAAUGUGGUAGAACCACAAAUAUGAAGGCGAGGAAGGUCUGUUUCUCCCCACUUCUAGAGGAUCAGGUCUGUGGCAUCAUGAAAGACAGAAAUACCAUUGAUCUUCAGUUAGUAGUGAUGUAUGUAGACCUACAACCCAUAAAUCUUGUGAUUUCAUUCUAAAAUUAAUUCACCAUUCAAAAGGAGGAAAAAUCAAGUUCUCAUACAAGAGUUGGUUGUGGCGGCAGGUACAUUUUGUUGACUGUCAUAUUUAGAUGGAGCUAAGGGGAUAUACAUAUAUAUAUUUCUAUAUAGAGAAAUAAAGUAUACCUAUAUUUCUUUAUAGAGAAAUAAAAGUUCACAUGGAAGUUUCCUUUUGCUGCCUAAUUCAGAGAUUUUUCAUUCCCUGUAGAAUCCCUUCGGGGGCUGCUAAAUGAGGUGUCAAGAAAGAAGGAACUCAAGGGAUAAAGUUCUGGUUCCCCAAGUUCCCCAACCAGAAGGGCUCCAUGUAGAAACAUUUGUUUUAGAAUGCUUUAAUUUCAAUAGAAGAAAGAAUUCUACUGCCACAAUUUGCUAACUUUUCUUUAGACUGCGGAGUUCAAGAAACCCUUGCACAGGGCAGAUAACAGUUGUUAUUCGAUGGGAAUGUCGCAGAGGAGCAGACUUAGUGACCUGGGAGGUGAGAGUACAGUGUGUAGAUAGGGAAAGAAGCAGUGACAUUUCCUAUUAGAAAAUCAGGGAUGGUCUUUGGGAAAUGAUAAGAUCGUGAUGCUGAUUUCCUGAUCAAAUGGGACUUUAGAUCAGGAUGUGCUGAGUCCACUCCAGGACACACAAGGGCUCUUCUCUGAGGUGUCUGAGUUGAGUAGAUAAAAAAGACUCUAAACAAUUCCACUGAUCACCUCAAGAAUUUCCUCUAAUUUGCCUUCACAUUGCAUGGAGGUCCUUUCUCUAUGGACCAUCUGGUAGGGAGUUGUUAGGAUGGCUAUGGAGUAACAGACCACUGUGUUGAUGGCAACUCCCCACAACACACCUUUUUAGGGGACACUUUCUUGGACUACUUCUUUGGGGAUAGCACAUGUAUUAGAAGAGCAGAGGGAAGAGAGAAGCUACCUUGGAAAUGGAAAUUUUGCUGUUGGUCAUGGCUGUGACUGGGAUACCUCAGGUGGACAGUGCUAGCGAAUUUCCACUGUGUGUUUCUUACGUUCCAUGUAGCAUUUUUUUGUUUGUUUAAGAGUUUAAUUCCUUAAUUUUUAAAAACUUUUAAUUUUGUAGGUACAUAGUAGCUGUAUAUAUUUAUGGGGUACAUGAGAUAUUUUGGUACAUGCAUGUAAUAUGUAAUAAUCACAUCAUGGGCAAUUGGAUAUUCAUCCCCUCAAGCAUUUAUUCUUUGUGUUACAAGCAAUCAAAUUAUACUCUUUUAGUUAUUUUUAAAUGUACAAUUAACCAUGAAGCUCUUAUCUCAAACCAAAGUAUAUUCACA
Molecule: long non-coding RNA, 3460 nt
Filed under: Homo sapiens (human)
Lineage: Eukaryota; Metazoa; Chordata; Mammalia; Primates; Hominidae
Description: non-protein coding lnc-NKX2-8-4:1
Source: RNAcentral